This is a non-coding RNA of Sebastes umbrosus (honeycomb rockfish), 560 nucleotides long. Lineage: Eukaryota; Metazoa; Chordata; Actinopteri; Perciformes; Sebastidae. The record is from the annotation of a RefSeq genome assembly.
UUUGUACGGCCACUUAAUGAGUUUGUAUCACUGUGGUACACUUUUGGUGGAGGAACCAAACUCAUCAUUAACUCUGGCACCAUGGUCAGGCCCUCAGUCUCUCUGCUUCCCCCCUCCUCUGAGCAGCUCUCUGGGGGCUCGGCCACGCUGGCCUGCCUGCUGACCGGCUACUCUCCUCAGGGAGCCGUGGUGAGCUGGCAGGUGGACGGUACGGAGGUGACGGAGGGGGUCCUGAGCAGCUCAGAGGAGGAGAAGAGCGGCCGCUACAGCAGCAGCAGCACCCUGAGCCUGAGCCAGGAGCGCUGGAUGGAAGGAGAGCUGUACUCCUGCAGGGUCCUCCAUCAGGGCCACAGCCAGACCCAGUCCCUCCACAGGAGCCAGUGUAAGGGCUAGAGGGGCCGGCUGAAGCCCAGGACAGGAGCUCUGUGUGGGGGGGAGCAGCUCUGAUCAAUAGCAGUUUGAAUGCUUGUAGAGGAAACUGAAGCUUUGUGUGACAGAGAACAACACUGCUGUAAAGUGUUGGACAACAACAACUUAGAGAGGAAUGUGUGUCGCUCAGC